Molecule: ribosomal RNA, 497 nt
Filed under: uncultured bacterium
Lineage: Bacteria
Description: partial 16S ribosomal RNA
Rfam family: Bacterial small subunit ribosomal RNA
Source: RNAcentral
GAUGAACGCUGGCGGCGUGCCUAAUACAUGCAAGUCGAGCGAACAGACGAGGAGCUUGCUCCUCUGAUGUUAGCGGCGGACGGGUGAGUAACACGUGGAUAACCUACCUAUAAGACUGGGAUAACUUCGGGAAACCGGAGCUAAUACCGGAUAACAUGUUGAACCGCAUGGUUCAACAGUGAAAGACGGUCUUGCUGUCACUUAUAGAUGGAUCCGCGCCGCAUUAGCUAGUUGGUAAGGUAACGGCUUACCAAGGCAACGAUGCGUAGCCGACCUGAGAGGGUGAUCGGCCACACUGGAACUGAGACACGGUCCAGACUCCUACGGGAGGCAGCAGUAGGGAAUCUUCCGCAAUGGGCGAAAGCCUGACGGAGCAACGCCGCGUGAGUGAAGAAGGUCUUCGGAUCGUAAAACUCUGUUAUUAGGGAAGAACAAAUGUGUAAGUAACUAUGCACGUCUUGACGGUACCUAAUCAGAAAGCCACGGCCAACUACGUG